RNAcentral lists this unclassified non-coding RNA (404 nucleotides) under soil metagenome. Its description in RNAcentral is "partial contains 5.8S ribosomal RNA, internal transcribed spacer 2, and large subunit ribosomal RNA". The stretch from base 1 to 121 matches the Rfam family "5.8S ribosomal RNA", at positions 35 to 154 of the family's 154-position model. The record is from RNAcentral.
GAUGAAGAACGUAGCGAAAUGCGAUAAGUAAUGUGAAUUGCAGAAUUCAGUGAAUCAUCGAAUCUUUGAACGCACCUUGCGCCCUUUGGCCAUUCCGAAGGGCAUGCCUGUUUGAGUAUCAUGAACACCUCAACUCUCAUGGCUUGCCAUGAUGAGCUUGGACUUUGGGGGUCUUGCUGGCCUGCGGCCAGCUCCUCUCAAAUGAAUUAGCUUUCCAGUGUUUGGUUGGCAUCACAGGUGUGAUAACUAUCUACGCUUGUGGUUUCCACCAGGUAACCUUCAGUAACAUGGGGGUUUGCUGGAGCUCAUAAAUGUCUCUCCUUAGUGGGGACAGCUCUUUGAACGUUUGAUCUCAAAUCAGGUAGGACUACCCGCUGAACUUAAGCAUAUCAAUAAGCGGAGGA